RNAcentral lists this ribosomal RNA (722 nucleotides) under uncultured bacterium. RNAcentral's name for it is "bacterial SSU rRNA". It matches the Rfam family "Bacterial small subunit ribosomal RNA", at positions 8 to 741 of the family's 1533-position model. The record is from RNAcentral.
AGGGUUUGAUCCUGGCUCAGAAUGAACGUUGGCGGCGUGGAUUAGGCAUGCAAGUCGAGCGAGAAGUUUACUUCGGUAAAUGGACAGCGGCGAAAGGGACAGUAAUGUGUAGGUACCUACCCCCCGAUCUGGGAUAGCUGCGGGAAACUGCAGGUAAUACCGGAUAAUGUCUUCGGACCAAAGGUGUGAUUCCGUCAGGGGAGGGGCCUGCAUCCUAUUAGCUUGUUGGUGAGGUAAUGGCUCACCAAGGCAACGAUGGGUAGCGGGUGUGAGAGCAUGACCCGCGUCAUUGGGACUGAGACACUGCCCAGACAUCUACGGAUGGCUGCAGUCGAGAAUCUUCGGCAAUGGGCGAAAGCCUGACCGAGCGACGCCGCGUGCGGGAUGAAGGCCCUCGGGUUGUAAACCGCUGUCGUUGGGGAGGAAAUGCAAAAGGGUUAUCCCUUCUGUUUGACCGAUCCAAGGAGGAAGUACGGGCUAAGUUCGUGCCAGCAGCCGCGGUAAGACGAACCGUACGAACGUUAUUCGGAAUUACUGGGCUUAAAGGGUGCGUAGGCUGCACGGAAAGUUGGGUGUGAAAGCCCUCAGCUCAACUGAGGAAUUGCAUCCAAAACUGCCGUGCUUGAGGGAGACAGAGGUGAGCGGAACUCAAGGUGGAGCGGUGAAAUGCGUUGAUAUCUUGAGGAACACCGGUGGCGAAAGCGGCUCACUGGGUCUCUUCU